UCCCUGGUGGUCCAGUGGUUAAGACUCCACCUUUCAAUGCAGGGAACUUGGGUUCGAUUCCUGAUCAGGGAA
Non-coding RNA from Bos taurus (domestic cattle), 72 nucleotides. Lineage: Eukaryota; Metazoa; Chordata; Mammalia; Artiodactyla; Bovidae. The record is from Rfam.